UACGUAGGGUGCGAGCGUUAAUCGGAAUUACUGGGCGUAAAGCGUGCGCAGGCGGUUUUGUAAGACAGGCGUGAAAUCCCCGGGCUCAACCUGGGAAUGGCGCUUGUGACUGCAAGGCUGGAGUGCGGCAGAGGGGGAUGAAAUUCCGCGUGUAGCAGUGAAAUGCGUAGAUAUGCGGAGGAACACCGAUGGCGAAGGCAAUUCCCUGGGCCUGCACUGACGCUCAUGUACGAAAGCGUGGGGAGCAAACAGG
This 253-nucleotide ribosomal RNA is filed under the name uncultured bacterium. RNAcentral's name for it is "partial 16S ribosomal RNA". It matches the Rfam family "Bacterial small subunit ribosomal RNA", at positions 524 to 776 of the family's 1533-position model. The record is from RNAcentral.